AUUAAGCUUAAUUUGAGAAACCAGUUAAGCUAAUAAAAUUGAGGAAAGAUGGCUUCACGUUUAUUUUAAGAAAAUUCACUCAAUUAUGUGGAUUUGAUUGAGAUGUUUGCAUUUGAAUCUCAACAACGGCAGUGAUCAGACGACAUUUUGAAGGAGCAGAUCAACAGCGAGCAUGUUAAGAGUUUAAUGAAGAAAACGUUUGCAGAGUUUUCCCACUAAAGAGGAGCAGUUUAUUGAGGCAGAUUUUGAUAAAGAGAAUGGGUGCCAUACAUCAGACCUCACAUUAAAUCAGGGAUAAAUCGAGAGAUGUCAUCCUCUGUUGCUGGUUUAUCUGUAUGAAUAAGAGGAAGAGCUCAUCCAGGAGUGCAAUUGUGGGAAUGCACAGAGAAUUGCUGUCUGUCAGAGGGAUGACCAACCAUGAGGACUUCUGCAUUGUCUUGGAGGAUAAGUGAGUCAUGGCUAGCCUGGAAAAUCUAGAAUCUAGAACUGGAUUUAUACAAAUAUUCCACAAAUUAAAAUCACUUACAAAGAAACGAAUAUUAAGUUUGCAAUACACAAAUUCUGUCAAAUAUUGUCUAAAAUGCGACUAUUCCUACAAAGGAAAGUUGACAGGUCAGUUUUUUCCAUGACAUGGAUAAAGGAAUUUUUAUCAGAGAUUAACAUUGCUGUAAAUUUUACAUAGAUUUGUUUAACA
This is a long non-coding RNA of Danio aesculapii, 694 nucleotides long. RefSeq lists it as uncharacterized. The record is from RefSeq and is a predicted model, not a curated record. The transcript is spliced from 4 exons. Lineage: Eukaryota; Metazoa; Chordata; Actinopteri; Cypriniformes; Danionidae.